RNAcentral lists this ribosomal RNA (836 nucleotides) under uncultured bacterium. RNAcentral's name for it is "bacterial SSU rRNA". It matches the Rfam family "Bacterial small subunit ribosomal RNA", at positions 61 to 938 of the family's 1533-position model. The record is from RNAcentral.
GUCGAACGAGGUCUUCGGACUUAGUGGCGGACGGGUGAGUAACGCGUGAGAAUCUGCCCUUAGGAGGGGGACAACAGUUGGAAACGACUGCUAAUACCCCAUAUGCCGGGAGGUGAAAAGGUUAAAUCCGCCUAAGGAGGAGUUCGCGUCUGAUUAGCUAGUUGGUGGGGUAAGAGCCUACCAAGGCGACGAUCAGUAGCUGGUCUGAGAGGAUGAUCAGCCACACUGGGACUGAGACACGGCCCAGACUCCUACGGGAGGCAGCAGUGGGGAAUUUUCCGCAAUGGGCGCAAGCCUGACGGAGCAACGCCGCGUGCGGGAGGAAUGCCUGUGGGUUGUAAACCGCUUUUAUCAGGGAAGAAGGUCUGACGGUACCUGAUGAAUCAGCAUCGGCUAACUCCGUGCCAGCAGCCGCGGUAAGGCGGAGGAUGCAAGCGUUAUCCGGAAUUAUUGGGCGUAAAGCGUCUGUAGGUGGCUGUUCAAGUCUGCUGUUAAAGAUUGGGGCUCAACUCCGAGAAGGCAGUGGAAACUGAAUAGCUAGAGUGCGGUAGGGGUAGAGGGAAUUCCCAGUGUAGCGGUGAAAUGCGUAGAUAUUGGGAAGAACACCAGUGGCGAAGGCGCUCUACUGGGCCGCAACUGACACUGAGGGACGAAAGCUAGGGGAGCGAAUGGGAUUAGAUACCUCAGUAGUCCUAGCUGUAAACGAUGGAUACUAGGUGUUGGCCGUAUCGACCCGGUCAGUAUCGUAGCUAACGCGUUAAGUAUCCCGCCUGGGGAGUACGCACGCAAGUGUGAAACUCAAAGGAAUUGACGGGGGCCCGCACAAGCGGUGGAGU